RNAcentral lists this ribosomal RNA (416 nucleotides) under uncultured bacterium. RNAcentral's name for it is "bacterial SSU rRNA". It matches the Rfam family "Bacterial small subunit ribosomal RNA", at positions 11 to 416 of the family's 1533-position model. The record is from RNAcentral.
GUUUGAUCCUGGCUCAGAGCGAACGUUAGCGGCGCGCCUAACACAUGCAAGUCGCACGAGAAAGGGGGCAACCCCGGUACAGUGGCGCACGGGUGAGUAACACGUGGGUGAUCUGCCCAGAAGAAGGGGAUAACCUCUCGAAAGGGGGGCUAAUACCGCAUAGGACCACCGGGGCUUUGGCUCUGUGGUGAAGGGGGCCUCUGUUUACAAGCUCCUGCUUCUGGAUGAGCCCGCGUCCCAUCAGCUAGUUGGUAGGGUAAUGGCCUACCAAGGCUACGACGGGUAGCUGGUCUAAGAGGAUGGCCAGCCACACUGGAACUGAGACACGGUCCAGACUCCUACGGGAGGCAGCAGUGGGGAAUCUUGCGCAAUGGGCGAAAGCCUGACGCAGCGACGCCGCGUGGGUGACGAAGGCC